This 526-nucleotide ribosomal RNA is filed under the name uncultured Pseudomonadota bacterium. Its description in RNAcentral is "bacterial SSU rRNA". It matches the Rfam family "Bacterial small subunit ribosomal RNA", at positions 381 to 896 of the family's 1533-position model. The record is from RNAcentral. Lineage: Bacteria; Pseudomonadati; Pseudomonadota.
ACCUGACGCAGCGACGCCGCGUGGGUGAUGAAGGCCUUCGGGUCGUAAAGCCCUGUCAAGAGGGACGAAACCUCGCCGACCUAACACGUCGGCGACCUGACGGUACCUCUGAAGGAAGCACCGGCUAACUCCGUGCCAGCAGCCGCGGUAAUACGGAGGGUGCGAGCGUUGUUCGGAAUUACUGGGCGUAAAGCGCGUGUAGGCGGCCUCCUCAGUCUGGUGUGAAAGCCCGGGGCUCACCCCCCGGAAGUGCAUUGGAUACUGGGAGGCUGGAGUACCGGAGAGGAGGGUGGAAUUCCUGGUGUAGCGGUGAAAUGCGUAGAUAUCAGGAGGAACACCGGUGGCGAAGGCGGCCCUCUGGACGGAUACUGACGCUGAGACGCGAAAGCGUGGGGAGCAAACAGGAUUAGAUACCCUGGUAGUCCACGCCGUAAACGAUGGGCACUAGGUGUUCGGGGUAUUGACCCCCUGAGUGCCGCAGCUAACGCAUUAAGUGCCCCGCCUGGGGAAUACGGCCGCAGGGUUA